This is a non-coding RNA of Macaca mulatta (Rhesus monkey), 1064 nucleotides long. Lineage: Eukaryota; Metazoa; Chordata; Mammalia; Primates; Cercopithecidae. The record is from RefSeq and is a predicted model, not a curated record.
CAGCCAGCCAGCCGCCGUCGCACUGGUCUAGCCCUGAGAACUUCCAGGCGGCGUAGAGGUGCCCAACCUUGGCCACCACGGCGCCUCGUCGCCUGCACGCCGCGUGGGCUUCAGACAGCGUCAGCCGCCCGGGCACGAAGAACACUUGACCUGGGGAUCACAGCGGGUCACCGACCGAAAGUGGGGAUUCAUAAGAAGACGGGAUGGGGAAUGGGGAAACGGAGGAAGCACCCUGAGAAGUCACCAGAAAUCUAAAGAAUGGAGCUCCAUCUUCCUGCAAAUGAGGACCAAAGACCAGCUUGCCGUAGGAGAAACAGAGGUUAGGCACAGAAAACUCCUCAGUGGUUAAAAGUGAAAGUAUCUGGGAUGCGAACAUGAGCAAGAGAACACUUCUUUAUAGGAGAACUUGAAAAUAUGAGUAGUCAGCAGCUCCAUUGCCUACCUGUUAGAAGCUGGUCUCUUCACAGAGACGGAGGGAGCAGUGCUUAGCAGCUUUUUGUCUUGCUUGAGGAAGAGGUUCUGGAUGAAGGUUUUGCCAGGCUCCUGGGAGUUCCAAGCACCUUAAAACCCUGGGACUUGAGCACCUGUUCAACACAGUUGCUCCUUUUGCACCUUUGAGGAAAAGCUUCUGUCCUGUGCUCAAAGAAGAAGCCAAGAUGCCAAGAACGACCCCCUCCCCCAUCAGUCCACUCAGCCUUGUUAAGAGACCUGUGUCCAGCCCAGAUCUGUGGAAAUCACUAUUCUGGGACUAGGGGAAGAUGCUGGGCUUCGGAUGAGGGCUGGGAACCCAUGUAAGGCAGUGGAAUAAAGGGAGCAACCCAGGAAUGAUGACCUGGAAGAGUGCAGAAAGUGAGGUGCUUCAUUGUUUCUUGAUGCCUUUGGACGAGAGAGGUGUAGAUUGAUCGGUGGAUAUGAAGGUGUUGGACUGAUGGGGAUGGGGAUGAACUCUAAAUGUGGCUCAAAGAUCUAUAACUGCCAAGCUCGAGCUGCCUCCCUUUCCAUAUGCACCUCAUGUAAGCAGCAUCCCCAUCUCCCCCUCUCCCCACAACAGAGUACUCACCUCU